CCCCGACUCCUCGUGCGGCCGACUACCGACGCCGUGUCCCGUCAUUCGUGUGGUUUACACCGCUGUUGCCUUUUGAAGUGCUUGCGUGCCGGUACCCGACCUACGGGAAUUGGUGUGUUUCGUACACAGUUGCCUCGCGGUGGACGCCUUUGGGUGUUCCGCUGCGGCCAAGUGGCUCUUGCAGCGUUGCCUCGUGGUGCUGGCACGUUUACGUGUCCGGUGCUAUCAGGGCAGCCUUGCUCGUGCUGUUGGUUUCAGAUGCUGCUCACGAUAAAGGCUCACGAUAAAGGCUUACGGCCAUUUUCUGUUGGCAUAUUCCGGACCCAAUAAAGCUCCCUAACCCCAAAAAAAAGGCCGAAAAACAAUUUGUGCCUCUUCCCUCUCCCAGGUAAGAGAAAGAAUACGCAACAUGCAGGCCCAAUGAAGUAAGAAAUAAGGGAUCUUUGUCGGUUUCGGAAGUUGCUGGCUCAAACGGCUCUUGUCCCUUAUUGUUGCCUAAGACCCGACCCUUCGRSSYWKSGRAGMUUGGCCCGCUCAAUUGCGACAACCGGCACGGCUGUUGUCUGCCUUCACGGGCRGAYGGCUGCCGACRCUGGACGUCAAAGAGGACAUGCU
This 615-nucleotide unclassified non-coding RNA is filed under the name Koeleria vallesiana. RNAcentral's name for it is "partial external transcribed spacer". The record is from RNAcentral. Lineage: Eukaryota; Viridiplantae; Streptophyta; Magnoliopsida; Poales; Poaceae.